UCGAGAAUCUUCCGCAAUGGGCGCAAGCCUGACGGAGCGACGCCGCGUGCGGGAUGAAGGCCUUCGGGUUGUAAACCGCUGUCAGUAGGGAGCAAAUCGUUAGGGGUUAUCCUCUAUCGUUGAGCAAUCUGCAGAGGAAGCGCAGGCUAAGUUCGUGCCAGCAGCCGCGGUAACACGAACUGCGCGAACGUUAUUCGGAAUCACUGGGCUUAAAGAGUCCGUAGGCGGCUCGGUAGGUGGGGUGUGAAAGCCCACGGCUCAACCGUGGAAUUGAGCUCCAAACCAUCGGGCUUGAGGGAGAUAGAGGAGAGCGGAACUGAUGGUGGAGCGGUGAAAUGCGUUGAUAUCAUCAGGAACACCGGUGGCGAAAGCGGCUCUCUGGGUCUCUUCUGGCGCUGAGGGACGAAAGCUAGGGGAGCGAACGGGAUUAGAUACCCGUGUAGUCC
This 446-nucleotide ribosomal RNA is filed under the name uncultured prokaryote. Its description in RNAcentral is "bacterial SSU rRNA". It matches the Rfam family "Bacterial small subunit ribosomal RNA", at positions 355 to 796 of the family's 1533-position model. The record is from RNAcentral.